Molecule: non-coding RNA, 99 nt
Organism: Acanthosepion pharaonis
Lineage: Eukaryota; Metazoa; Mollusca; Cephalopoda; Sepiida; Sepiidae
Source: the annotation of a GenBank genome assembly
CGUUGAAACAGCAGUUCCCUUACGAUCACUGAAGUUAAGCAACGUCAAGCCAGAUCAAUACCUAGAUGGGUGAUCCCUUGAGAAUACCAAAUGCUGUAA